Molecule: ribosomal RNA, 521 nt
Filed under: uncultured bacterium
Lineage: Bacteria
Description: bacterial SSU rRNA
Rfam family: Archaeal small subunit ribosomal RNA
Source: RNAcentral
AACCUCCGCAAUGUGAGAAAUCGCGACGGGGGGAUCCCAAGUGCCAUUCUUAACGGGAUGGCUUUUCUUAAGUGUAAAAAGCUUUUGGAAUAAGAGCUGGGCAAGACCGGUGCCAGCCGCCGCGGUAACACCGGCAGCUCUAGUGGUAGCUGUUUUUAUUGGGCCUAAAGCGUUCGUAGCCGGUUUGAUAAGUCACUGGUGAAAUCCUGUAGCUUAACUGUGGGAAUUGCUGGUGAUACUGUUGAACUUGAGGUCGGGAGAGGUUAGCGGUACUCCCAGGGUAGAGGUGAAAUUCUGUAAUCCUGGGAGGACCACCUGUGGCGAAGGCGGCUAACUGGAACGAACCUGACGGUGAGGGACGAAAGCUAGGGGCGCGAACCGGAUUAGAUACCCGGGUAGUCCUAGCCGUAAACGAUGCGGACUUGGUGUUGGGAUGGCUUUGAGCCGCUCCAGUGCCGAAGGGAAGCUGUUAAGUCCGCCGCCUGGGAAGUACGGUCGCAAGACUGAAACUUAAAGGAAAU